Molecule: ribosomal RNA, 531 nt
Filed under: uncultured bacterium
Lineage: Bacteria
Description: partial 16S ribosomal RNA
Rfam family: Bacterial small subunit ribosomal RNA
Source: RNAcentral
UAGGGAAUCUUCGGCAAUGGGGGCAACCCUGACCGAGCAACGCCGCGUGAGUGAAGAAGGUUUUCGGAUCGUAAAGCUCUGUUGUAAGUCAAGAACGGGUGUGAGAGUGGAAAGUUCACACUGUGACGGUAGCUUACCAGAAAGGGACGGCUAACUACGUGCCAGCAGCCGCGGUAAUACGUAGGUCCCGAGCGUUGUCCGGAUUUAUUGGGCGUAAAGCGAGCGCAGGCGGUUUGAUAAGUCUGAAGUUAAAGGCUGUGGCUCAACCAUAGUUCGCUUUGGAAACUGUCAAACUUGAGUGCAGAAGGGGAGAGUGGAAUUCCAUGUGUAGCGGUGAAAUGCGUAGAUAUAUGGAGGAACACCGGUGGCGAAAGCGGCUCUCUGGUCUGUAACUGACGCUGAGGCUCGAAAGCGUGGGGAGCGAACAGGAUUAGAUACCCUGGUAGUCCACGCCGUAAACGAUGAGUGCUAGGUGUUGGAUCCUUUCCGGGAUUCAGUGCCGCAGCUAACGCAUUAAGCACUCCCGCCUGG